This 101-nucleotide ribosomal RNA is filed under the name Pogona vitticeps (central bearded dragon). Lineage: Eukaryota; Metazoa; Chordata; Lepidosauria; Squamata; Agamidae. The record is from RNAcentral.
UGUCCUAUCUAUAUGACCUUGAACACACCCACUCUCAUCUGAUUUUGGAAGCCAAGCAGGAUCAGACCUCAUUAAUACCUGAAGGGGAGAUGAUGAGAGAA